This is a long non-coding RNA of Oncorhynchus tshawytscha (Chinook salmon), 2337 nucleotides long. RefSeq lists it as uncharacterized. The record is from RefSeq and is a predicted model, not a curated record. NCBI's taxonomy places the organism in Eukaryota, Metazoa, Chordata, Actinopteri, Salmoniformes, Salmonidae. The transcript has 7 exons.
GUGAUGAAGUCCAGGUGAGUCUGAUGAGUCGCUGGUGCGCGAAACGAUGGUGACAGGUGUGCGUAGUAAUGAGCAGCCUGGUGACCUAGAGCGUCGGAGAGGGAAUAUACGUGACACCAGGGACUAUUAAAAUGUACAUUACAGCCUGCUGUAACUUCAGCACUUUAGAUUACUGUAUUGUCAAUGAUGGUGCUGUUAGUUCAAUGUAAUCUCUGUCCAGGUUAGCUCAAGGUCUAGGCCUGUCCUGAGCCAAACUGAAGAUGUGAAUGGAUAAUCUCUCUGGCACCACUAUGAUGGGUUGGGGCAGAAGAGUCCUACUCUCAUGGAUUAGUCUGAGCCUGUUUGAGUUUCCAUACAGUCAAAGGGUACAGAGAGCCUCAUCCAGCUUCAUACUAGAUAUGGUCAGCUGGAGGACAGACUUGUCAGAGUGAGAGAGAGCCAGUGGAAGGUGGCUGCCUACCUGGGGAUCCCCUGAGCCCCCUUGUCGGGCCGCUGAAGUUCCAGGUCCCCCAGCCUCCCCGGGUGUGGCAGGGACUGAGAGCCGCCAAGGCUUACCCACCUCUGUAUGAGCCUAAGCAGUAAUGUCUCAGACAGACAGGGAGACAAACAGCCUAUACUGUUUAAUGGGGAACUCUGAAUCAUGUGUAUUUUGAUUAACAUUCAGCCAUUCAUGUUUGUAUUGAUAGUGUAAGAAAAUGUCACCUUUCUUGUCCUCCUAACACAUAGGUGUCUGCAGAACAUGAACCACACUAGACAGAUGGGGGACCUGUACGGAGGUCGGUUCCCUGUCCUAACCACCUCAGAGGACUCCCUUUAUCUGAAUAUCUACACACCAGUCAAACCUGGGGACCCAAGGAAACUACCAGUGAGGAGAGACAUGAGAAUGUACUCAUAUCUACCUUAAGAGUAGACAAACAUGUCUUUGGUUUGGUGGUCCUCAUGGGAGGGGCUUCACUCUGUGAUGGCUCCUCAUUGGCUGCCUUCGGGGACAUUGGUGGUCAUCCUCCAAUACUGUUUGUGUAUCCCAGGGUUCCUCAGGUACACUUCCAUAUGUACGGCAUUUGGUCAAUAUGAUCAAUGCACAAAUUCAGGUCAGUAAUAUCUUCUCUUGUUUGGUGUCUACUGAACACAACCCUGGCAUAUCUGAUCUAAUAUCUGUGUGACCAGCACUGGAGAUGGCCAGUACCCCGGAACGUGGGUGUUCUGGACCAGGUGUGUGCCCUGCGCUGGGUGCAUGAGACCAUCAGCAGUUUCAGGGGAGACCCAGGAUCUGUCACCAUUUUUAGAGUCUGCUGGUGGUGUUGCUGUCUUUUUUUGCGUGUGUGUACUGUGCAUCUAGGAAAACAGAUAUUUGCUGAUACAGAAAGAUGCACUGGCUGUCUGUAUGUAGGCAGGCUUACUUUGGGCACUGAGCCAUGGUUCUGUCUGUCAUCAGGACUGUUCCACAAGGCCAUCAGUCAGAGUGGAGAACCCCUCGUCUCUAUGUUCAUCCAGGAUGACCCCAAACCUGCUGCACAGCUGGUGGCACAGAGAGCAGGCUGUCUCAGUGAUGACUCUGCAGAGCUCAUGACCUGCCUCAGUGCCCUCAGCCCACAGGACAGAGAGGUGGCUACACCUGCACUGGGAUGGGACAGUCAUCCCUACCAACCCGGAGGAAGUCCUGCAGACUAAGAGCUUCUUGGGCUUCCCCAGCAUCCUAGGGAUCAACAACCAUGAGUAUGGCUGGAUGCUCCCACAUGUAUGUCCCUGCAUGAAGAUAUGAAAACUGUCAUAUAAUUUACAGCGUCUGCCACACUCUGCCCUGGGGAUCAUCGUAGAGGAGUACUUUGGUGACAUGAAGGACCCCGUGGGGAUCAGAUGCCUUGGAGCUUAUGGGAGAUCUACUGAUUGUGGUCCCAGGGGGUGUAGAGUAACCCUAAUGGAGAGAGUGUGUUUGAUUGGCCGACACUCACUACAGAUCCAGGCCAACCUCGGGCUGGGCAGUGUCUCAGAGAAGAAGAGAGCCCAGUUCUUGAGAGAAGAUUUCCCUAAAGGACUGCUGGACACAAAGACGCACAGAGUGACCAGUAGAACUGAAUGUUCACUAUGUCAAAUGUUGUUCUAGGAGUGUCCAUAUUGUUGCCCUCCACUCCAGUCUGCUAUUAGGUUACAGUAUAUGAGGCUUUCUUUGCCUUUUCCUUAUUUUGUGUCAUUUUGGCCAUUUUAAUAUUCCAGAUUUUCUUUAAUGGUUUGAUUUAAAAAAUAUAUAUAUAUUUUAUUUAGCAAUUGUUUAACAUUUAUGUAGUUUAUUUUUAUCUUGCUGUGUUCAUAUGUCCAUUAAAGCCAUAAAAUAAUUAA